This 320-nucleotide unclassified non-coding RNA is filed under the name uncultured fungus. RNAcentral's name for it is "partial contains 5.8S ribosomal RNA, internal transcribed spacer 2, and large subunit ribosomal RNA". The record is from RNAcentral. Lineage: Eukaryota; Fungi.
AACGCAAGUUGCGCCUGAGGCCUCCCGGCUGAGGGCACGUCUGCCUGGGCGUCACGCAUCACGUCGCCUGCAACAAACGUCCUUGCUUGGAUUGUGAUGUAUGCGGGCGGAGACUGGUCUCCCGUGCCCAUGGCGCGGCUGGCCUAAAUACGAGUCCGGUUAAGAGUGACGCACGACUUCUGGUGGUUGACUACGCGGUCGUCUCGUGUCGUGUGUUUCGAUUCUUAAAGGGAAACGCUCUUGAACUACCCUGAUGCGCCGUCUUGUGACGGCCCUUCGAUCGCGACCCCAGGUCAGGCGGGACUACCCGCUGAGUUUAA